AACGAACGCUGGCGGCGUGCCUAACACAUGCAAGUCGUGCGAGAAAGUUCCUUCGGGAGCGAGUAAAGCGGCGCACGGGUGAGUAACACGUAGGUAACCUGCCCCCCAGUCUGGAACAACUAGAGGAAACUCUAGCUAAUGCCGGAUGAGACCACGAUCCCUUCGGGGGUUGCGGCCAAAGAUGGCCUCUACUUGUAAGCUAUCGCUGAGGGAUGGGCCUGCGGCCAUUAGCUUGUUGGUGAGGUAACGGCUCACCAAGGCUGUGAUGGCUAGCUGGUCUGAGAGGAUGACCAGCCACACUGGGACUGAGACACGGCCCAGACUCCUACGGGAGGCAGCAGUGGGGAAUAUUGCGCAAUGGGCGAAAGCCUGACGCAGCGACGCCGCGUGGGUGAUGAA
Molecule: ribosomal RNA, 399 nt
Filed under: uncultured bacterium
Lineage: Bacteria
Description: bacterial SSU rRNA
Rfam family: Bacterial small subunit ribosomal RNA
Source: RNAcentral